UCUAACCUACGGGAGGCAGCAGUGAGGAAUAUUGGUCAAUGGGCUUACGCCUGAACCAGCCAAGUCGCGUGAGGGAAGACUGCCCUAUGGGUUGUAAACCUCUUUUGUCAGGGAGCAACGCCGGCUACGUGUAGCCGGACUGAGAGUACCUGAAGAAAAAGCAUCGGCUAACUCCGUGCCAGCAGCCGCGGUAAUACGGAGGAUCCGAGCGUUAUCCGGAUUUAUUGGGUUUAAAGGGAGCGUAGAUGGGUUGUUAAGUCAGUUGUGAAAGUUUGCGGCUCAACCGUAAAAUUGCAAUUGAUACU
This 305-nucleotide ribosomal RNA is filed under the name uncultured bacterium. RNAcentral describes it as "bacterial SSU rRNA". It matches the Rfam family "Bacterial small subunit ribosomal RNA", at positions 331 to 634 of the family's 1533-position model. The record is from RNAcentral.